RNAcentral lists this ribosomal RNA (305 nucleotides) under uncultured bacterium. RNAcentral describes it as "bacterial SSU rRNA". It matches the Rfam family "Bacterial small subunit ribosomal RNA", at positions 337 to 640 of the family's 1533-position model. The record is from RNAcentral.
UCCUACGGGGGGCAGCAGUGAGGAAUAUUGGUCAAUGGACGAGAGUCUGAACCAGCCAAGUAGCGUGAAGGAUGACUGCCCUAUGGGUUGUAAACUUCUUUUAUAUGGGAAUAAAACGUUCCACGUGUGGGAUUUUGUAUGUACCAUAUGAAUAAGGAUCGGCUAACUCCGUGCCAGCAGCCGCGGUAAUACGGAGGAUCCGAGCGUUAUCCGGAUUUAUUGGGUUUAAAGGGUGCGCAGGCGGAAGAUCAAGUCAGCGGUAAAAUUGAGAGGCUCAACCUCUUCGAGCCGUUGAAACUGGUUUU